Molecule: long non-coding RNA, 341 nt
Filed under: Setaria viridis
Lineage: Eukaryota; Viridiplantae; Streptophyta; Magnoliopsida; Poales; Poaceae
Description: long non-coding RNA (SVIR_LNC005027)
Source: RNAcentral
GUUAUUUUAAAUAUUGUUUAUAAUGACAUAAGUGGGUAAUUUUGAUGAAGAUUAGGGGGUAGUUUAGUUAAUUUUAUAUAAUGGCAGAGGUGAGUAAUUUAGAUAUAGAUUUAGGGGUUACUUUACGCUAUUUUCAUAAUAGCAUAGGUGGGUAAUUUUUUAGAAAACAUAAUAAAUCCAAUAGCUACGAUGAUUUGAGUCUACCGAUUGAUGGCUAGAUGUUUUGCUUUUGUGAGAAUUUUUAAAAUUUCUCUACGAAUUUUAGGUGGCUUCACUAAAGUUUUAAAAGGAACUUUCAAUUAGUAAUAGUAAGAUACCCUCGUGUUUCGUGGUUUCAGAAA